Molecule: long non-coding RNA, 465 nt
Organism: Chiroxiphia lanceolata (lance-tailed manakin)
Lineage: Eukaryota; Metazoa; Chordata; Aves; Passeriformes; Pipridae
Exons: 3
Source: RefSeq, a predicted model, not a curated record
ACUGUCUAGUGAGCAAUUGAACAGAAGGGUGAAGGGCAGGAGCCUUUGACUUGCCCAGUGCACUUAAUUGCCUUGUUCUCCUCUCUUCCAGGCCAGGACCAAGCCCUGAUCCAGCCCAGCUCUGCCAAGUGCCCUGGGCUGUGAGCAGCCCAAGGCAAGAGGCUGCAGCCCCGCCGGCCGGCGCUGGGGGCUCCUGGUGCUGCCCGUGGGCUGGGAUGCUGGAAUUGCCUCUCUGGGUGUGUGCUGAGCUCUGGCUGCAGGGGACUGUCAGGCCUUGGUGGCUCUGUUCCCUGAUGUCCAUUCCCUGGCCUGAAUUCCUUGCAGCUCCCAGCUGGGGUAACCUGGGAGAACAUGGCAGGGACAGAGGUGACAUUUGUAGCUGCCAACUUGGGGUAAUUUCGAGGGGACACAGCAACUGUUUGUGUAGGAAAAGGGGAGGUGCUGCAGAGGGGAGGGAGGUGCAUU